This 77-nucleotide transfer RNA is filed under the name Capnocytophaga gingivalis ATCC 33624. Its description in RNAcentral is "tRNA-Thr". It matches the Rfam family "tRNA". Rfam says of the family: Transfer RNA (tRNA) molecules are approximately 80 nucleotides in length. Their secondary structure includes four short double-helical elements and three loops (D, anti-codon, and T loops). The record is from RNAcentral. Lineage: Bacteria; Pseudomonadati; Bacteroidota; Flavobacteriia; Flavobacteriales; Flavobacteriaceae.
AGCCGAUGUAGCUCAGGGGUAGAGCGCUUCCUUGGUAAGGAAGAGGUCACGAGUUCAAAUCUCGUCAUUGGCUCUUU